This 555-nucleotide ribosomal RNA is filed under the name uncultured Glomus. RNAcentral describes it as "SSU rRNA". It matches the Rfam family "Eukaryotic small subunit ribosomal RNA", at positions 548 to 1103 of the family's 1831-position model. Lineage: Eukaryota; Fungi; Glomeromycota; Glomeromycetes; Glomerales; Glomeraceae. The record is from RNAcentral.
UUGGAGGGCAAGUCUGGUGCCAGCAGCCGCGGUAAUUCCAGCUCCAAUAGCGUAUAUUAAAGUUGUUGCAGUUAAAAAGCUCGUAGUUGAAUUUCGGGAUCAAUGUUUCGGUCAUGCCGUUGGUAUGUACUGAUAUUAUUGAUUUCUCACCUUCUAAAGAACCGUAAUGCCAUUAAUUUGGUGUCACGGGGAAUUAGGACUGUUACCUUGAAAAAAUUAGAGUGUUUAAAGCAGGCUUACGCUUGAAUACAUUAGCAUGGAAUAAUGAAAUAGGACAUCCGAUUCUAUUUUGUUGGUUUCUAGGAUCGAUGUAAUGAUUAAUAGGGAUAGUUGGGGGCAUUAGUAUUCAAUUGUCAGAGGUGAAAUUCUUGGAUUUAUUGAAGACUAACUACUGCGAAAGCAUUUGCCAAGGAUGUUUUCAUUAAUCAAGAACGAAAGUUAGGGGAUCGAAGACGAUCAGAUACCGUCGUAGUCUUAACCAUAAACUAUGCCGACUAGGGAUCGGAUGAUGUUAAUUUUUUAAUGACUCAUUCGGCGCCUUACGGGAAACCAAAG